RNAcentral lists this ribosomal RNA (109 nucleotides) under Bacteroidota bacterium. Lineage: Bacteria; Pseudomonadati; Bacteroidota. The record is from RNAcentral. RNAcentral also lists the same sequence under 1 other name.
UUAGGUGGUUAUAACGUUGGGGUUCCACCUCUUCCCAUUCCGAACAGAGAAGUUAAGCCCAAUUGUGCCGAUGGUACUGCGAAAGUGGGAGAGUAGGUAGCCGCCUUUU